AACGAACGCUGGCGGCAUGCCUAACACAUGCGAGUCGAACGAGACCGUCGGGUCUAGGGGCGCACGGGUGCGUAACGCGGGGGAAGCUGCACUUAGGUUCGGAAUAACUCCCCGAAAGGGGUGCUAAUACCGGAUAAUGUCAUCGGACCAAGGAGCUAUCGCCUUUGGAUGGGCGCGGGUUGGAUUAGCUAGUUGGUAGAGUAAAAGCCGACCAAGGCGACGAUGCAGAGCUGGUCUGGGAGGAUGAUCCGCCACUCUGGGACUGCGACACGGCCCAGAAUCCGACGGAAGGCAGCAGUAGGGAAUAUUGGGGACUGGGCGCAAGCCUGGUCCAGCCAUGCCGCGUGAGUGGUGAUGGCCUUAGUGUUGUGAUGCCCUUUUAGCCGAGACGAUAGUGACAGUACCGGGUGAAGAAGCUCCGGCUAACUCCGUG
RNAcentral lists this ribosomal RNA (433 nucleotides) under uncultured bacterium. RNAcentral describes it as "partial 16S ribosomal RNA". It matches the Rfam family "Bacterial small subunit ribosomal RNA", at positions 29 to 507 of the family's 1533-position model. The record is from RNAcentral.